GGGGAAAAAUUAAUAAAAAAAAAAAUAAUAAAAAAAUUUUUAAAUAAAAAUAUUUAAUGGGGGUUAAAGUAUUUUUAAAGAAAAAAUAGAAAAAUUUAUAGUUAAUUAGUAUUGUGAAAGAAUUUUUAAAUAUAAUGAAAAUAAAUUAAUAAAAAAGUAAUUUUUAUUUAAUGUAUCUUGUGUAUCAGAGUUUAUUAAUAAAAUUAUUUUUAAUAAAUAUUUCUCGAAUUUAAAAGAGUUAAAUAAUUAUAAAAGUUAUUGUAGCAAAAAUAUUUUAAAUAAUUAUUUUGAAAUUAAAUGUUAAUCGUUUUUAAAUAUAUCUAGUUUUUUUAGAAAUAAAUUUAAUUUAUAAUUUUUUUAAAAAAAAAAAUUAAUUAAUUAAUUUUUUUUUAAAAAAAAUUUAAUAAUUUAGGGGAUAAGCUUUAAAUUAAAUUUUUAUAAUUAAAUAUUUUAAAAAUUAAAAUUUUUAUAAUUUAAAUUGUUAAAAAAUUAUAAUUUUUUAUAAAUAAUUUUAAUAAAAGUAAAAUUUAAUUUGUAUAAUUUAAAUUUUUAUAAAAAAAUUUUUUUUAAUGGUAAAAAUUAAGAUAUAAUGAUAAAAUUAGUAUAUAAAAAUUUUAUAAAAUAAACAAUAAAUUUAUUUAUGAGAAUUAAUUUAAAGGAAUUCGGCAAAUAAUUAUAUUCACUUGUUUAUCAAAAACAUGUCUUUUUGUUAAUAAUUUAAAGUCUAAUCUGCCCACUGAUAAAUAAAUAUUAAAGGGCUGCAGUAUUUUGACUGUACAAAGGUAGCAUAAUCAUUAGUCUCUUAAUUGGUGACUUGUAUGAAAGAUUUGAUGAAAUAUAAACUGUCUCUAAAUUAUUUAUAUAAUUUAAUUUUUUAAUUAAAAAGUUAAAAUUUAUUUAAAAGACGAGAAGACCCUAUAGAGUUUUAUAGAUUAAUUAAUAAGUUAUUAUUUAUAAAUAUUAAAUAAAUAUCAUUAUUUAAUUUAUUUUAUUGGGGUGAUAGAAAAAUUAAAUUAACUUUUUUUAUUUAUAAACAUUAAUAAAUGAUAAAAAGAUCCAAAAUUUUUGAUUGAAAGAAAAAAUUACCUUAGGGAUAACAGCGUAAUUUUUUUUUUUAGUUCAAAUAAAAAAAAAAGUUUGCGACCUCGAUGUUGGAUUAAGAUAAAAUUUAAAUGCAAAAGUUUAAAAUUUUGAUCUGUUCGAUCAUUAAAAUCUUACAUGAUCUGAGUUCAAACCGGUGUGAGCCAGGUUGGUUUCUAUCUUUAAAAAUUGGGGAAAUAUUUUAGUACGAAAGGAUCAAAUAUUUAAAAUAAUUUUAUACAAUAAAUGAAUAUUAAUAAAAAUAUUAAUAUAAAUAUUAUUAAUAGUUAAAA
RNAcentral lists this ribosomal RNA (1373 nucleotides) under Sitotroga cerealella. Its description in RNAcentral is "16S ribosomal RNA". Lineage: Eukaryota; Metazoa; Arthropoda; Insecta; Lepidoptera; Gelechiidae. The record is from RNAcentral.